AACGAACGCUGGCGGCAUGCCUAACACAUGCCAGUCGAACGAGACCUUCGGGUCUAGUGGCGCACGGGUGCGUAACGCGUGGGAACCUGCCCUUAGGUUCGGAAUAACUCCCCGAAAGGGGUGCUAAUACCGGAUAAUGUCUUCGGACCAAAGAUUUAUCGCCUUUGGAUGGGCCCGCGUUGGAUUAGCUAGUUGGUAGGGUAAAAGCCUACCAAGGCGUCGAUCCAUAGCUGGUCUGAGAGGAUGAUCAGCCACACUGGGACUGAGACACGGCCCAGACUCCUACGGGAGGCAGCAGUGGGGAAUAUUGGACAAUGGGCGAAAGCCUGAUCCAGCAAUGCCGCGUGAGUGAUGAAGGCCUUAGGGUUGUAAAGCUCUUUUACCCGGGAUGAUAAUGACAGUACCGGGAGAAUAAGCUCCGGCUAACUCCGUG
Molecule: ribosomal RNA, 433 nt
Filed under: uncultured bacterium
Lineage: Bacteria
Description: partial 16S ribosomal RNA
Rfam family: Bacterial small subunit ribosomal RNA
Source: RNAcentral